CCAAUAGCGUAUAUUAAAGUUGUUGCAGUUAAAAAGCUCGUAGUUGAAUUUCAGGCCUGGCUGGACGGUCCGCCCUUCGGGUGAGUACUGUCUGUGGUCGGGUCCUACCUUCUGGCGAAGCGUCAUGGCCUUAACCGGCCGUGGCGGGGAACCAGGACUUUUACUGUGAAAAAAUUAGAGUGUUCAAAGCAGGCAAUCGCUUGGAUACAUUAGCAUGGAAUAAUGGAAUAGGACAAUGGUUCUAUUUGUUGGUUUCUAGGACCGUUGUAAUGAUUAAUA
Molecule: ribosomal RNA, 279 nt
Filed under: uncultured Paraglomus
Lineage: Eukaryota; Fungi; Glomeromycota; Glomeromycetes; Paraglomerales; Paraglomeraceae
Description: partial 18S small subunit ribosomal RNA
Rfam family: Eukaryotic small subunit ribosomal RNA
Source: RNAcentral